Molecule: long non-coding RNA, 335 nt
Organism: Condylura cristata (star-nosed mole)
Lineage: Eukaryota; Metazoa; Chordata; Mammalia; Eulipotyphla; Talpidae
Exons: 3
Source: RefSeq, a predicted model, not a curated record
UCGAAAAGUCUGCCAUGAUUGUGGGCCAGGAAGGCUGUCCUACACUGACCUCCCCAAGCACUUACUCUCCUGACACCCCGUGGUUAGCUGCAUGGUGUUGGAGAAAAAUUUAGAAAAGGGAGGUCCUGUGGACAUCUCCGGGUGAUAAAGAUGCCGUGUGUUCAUGGUUGGGGAGCAGUAUACCUCUCCGGAAGCUGUACAGGCUGCAAGAAACCUCAUUCUAGCUCUUGGUUGCAACCGAGAUUAUGGCAGCGGUUCCAGAUGCUUGAACAGGAAUGGAAUUAAGAGUCCUCAUUGUCUGAGAUACCACCUCACCCCAGUGAGAAUGGCACAUC